RNAcentral lists this long non-coding RNA (296 nucleotides) under Mytilus galloprovincialis (Mediterranean mussel). Lineage: Eukaryota; Metazoa; Mollusca; Bivalvia; Mytilida; Mytilidae. The record is from RNAcentral.
GGUUCAUAACACUACAGGGGGAUAACUCUGUUAAAAUCUGCUGCACGUUUGAAUCACUUUCUACUGGAAAUAUUAAGCUUUUCAAUGAUCAAAAUAAGUGUAUGUCAAACUGUUUUACUGGUAUAUCCAAUGAAAUUUUUCCAAUAAAGUGUGUGGUUCAGGCUUUUUGUAAAUGUUUAUAUUUAGUCUAAGGGUCAACUAAAUAUUUUGUCAAGAUUUUAUGAAAAUUAAAUGAGCCAAAUUAAUUUUCUUCAAGGUGUUUGGUACCAAAACAAAAUUAUAAUUUAACAACAGGG